UCCUGGCUCAGGAUGAACGCUAGCGGCAGGCUUAAUACAUGCAAGUCGUGGGGCAGCAGGUUUGUAGCAAUACAGAUGCUGGCGACCGGCAAACGGGUACGGAACACGUACAGAACCUUCCUUUGAGCGGGGAAUAGCCCAGAGAAAUUUGGAUUAAUACCCCCAUAGUAUAAUGAAGUGGCAUCACUUUAUUAUUAAAGAUUUAUCACUCGAAGAUGGCUGUGCGGCUGAUUAGGUAGUUGGCGGGGUAAAGGCCCACCAAGCCUGCGAUCAGUAACUGGUGUGAGAGCACGACCAGUCACACGGGCACUGAGACACGGGCCGACUCCUACGGGAGGCAGCAGUAAGGAAUAUUGGUCAAUGGAGGCAACUCUGAACCAGCCAUGCCGCGUGGAGGAUGAAGGUCCUCUGGAUUGUAAACUUCUUUUAUAUGGGACGAAAAAAGGCUUUUCUAAGUCGUCUGACGGUACCAUAUGAAUAAGCACCGGCUAACUCCGUG
RNAcentral lists this ribosomal RNA (499 nucleotides) under uncultured bacterium. RNAcentral describes it as "bacterial SSU rRNA". It matches the Rfam family "Bacterial small subunit ribosomal RNA", at positions 17 to 507 of the family's 1533-position model. The record is from RNAcentral.